This is a long non-coding RNA of Nycticebus coucang (slow loris), 501 nucleotides long. RefSeq lists it as uncharacterized. The transcript has 3 exons. NCBI's taxonomy places the organism in Eukaryota, Metazoa, Chordata, Mammalia, Primates, Lorisidae. The record is from RefSeq and is a predicted model, not a curated record.
CUGAAGGUCUGAGCUCAGGACCUGGAACAAGGGUCUGGCAGGGCAGCCUCACCCUGGGAGAGCUGGGGCUCUCCAGGAGCACAGGUCCCAGGCUACAAUCAGAGGACCAGCCUGAAGGAUCCUCUUUACAAGGAACAAUGAUGAGUAAAGAGGUAUGUGCUCGGUGGCUCCUGCCUGUCAUCCUAGCACUCUGGAAGGCCGAGGUGGAUGGAGUGCUCAAGCUAUCAUGCCACAGCACUCUCCCCGGGGCAACAAAGUGGACUCUGUCUCAAAACAAACAAAAAAAAGGUCCUGCAGGGCAAUAACAGACCCACCCAAACCAAGGAACUGGCUCAGCUUGUCUUGGACCCUCCAAUCAUGUUUCCAAUACCUGACCCACGUAGACAGUGGCUCAUAGGACCCAUGGCUCUGCCCCGUAACCAGCCAAUUAGCAGACCCUGAUUGCCUAAGCUUAUGCCCACCAAACUGUCUUUAAAAACUCUGUCUCCACAGUUCUUGGGA